Molecule: ribosomal RNA, 460 nt
Filed under: uncultured bacterium
Lineage: Bacteria
Description: partial 16S ribosomal RNA
Rfam family: Bacterial small subunit ribosomal RNA
Source: RNAcentral
CCUACGGGUGGCUGCAGUGAGGAAUAUUGGUCAAUGGACGAGAGUCUGAACCAGCCAAGUAGCGUGAAGGAUGACUGCCCUAUGGGUUGUAAACUUCUUUUAUAUGGGAAUAAAAUGUUCCACGUGUGGGAUUUUGUAUGUACAAUAUGAAUAAGGAUCGGCUAACUCCGUGCCAGCAGCCGCGGUAAUACGGAGGCUCCGAGCGUUAUCCGGAUUUAUUGGGUUUAAAGGGAGCGUAGGUGGAUUGUUAAGUCAGUUGUGAAAGUUUGCGGCUCAACCGUAAAAUUGCAGUUGAAACUGGCAGUCUUGAGUACAGUAGAGGUGGGCGGAAUUCGUGGUGUAGCGGUGAAAUGCUUAGAUAUCACGAAGAACUCCGAUUGCGAAGGCAGUUCACUGGACUGCAACUGACACUGAGGCUCGAAAGUGUGGGUAUCAAACAGGAUUAGAUACCCUUGUAGUC